AAACACUUUUCGCACUUUCCGCACCUCCACCACCGCCAGCGCCUCCUCAGCUCCGCUCCGCGCUUUUCUGCUUUUCUUUCCACGUUCCUCUUCUCCACGUUUUCCGCCUACGGAUCGCGGACCAUUUCCCGAAAACGGGUAAAAAGAACUCGGGGAAAACACGCCGCCUGGGCUGAUUAGGUCGAUGCCGGGACAAAAUAAAAACCGUACAACUAUAGCGAGCGAUCUCCGACGGAAGAUGAAAAAACUAAAGGACUGCUCACCCGCAAAACAGGAUCCUCGUGCAAAGGCGGCGGAUAUCGUACAGUAUGGAUGCGAUGACGGCCGAACAAACCCGUAGCGAAGCUUUCCGCACUUUUCAGCGUUCUCUGGGUCGCAGUAUACUUGAAGUAGUACCACUCCGGAUUGUACAACUCCGGAAGUAGAUCCGGAAAUCGCCGCUGCAUCCGUUCCGCCAGCUCAAUCAGCUCAUCCUCACCCUCGGCCACCAGUAAUUUCUCAUC
Molecule: non-coding RNA, 503 nt
Organism: Drosophila melanogaster (fruit fly)
Lineage: Eukaryota; Metazoa; Arthropoda; Insecta; Diptera; Drosophilidae
Source: Ensembl